Molecule: non-coding RNA, 76 nt
Filed under: Devosia sp. LC5
Lineage: Bacteria; Pseudomonadati; Pseudomonadota; Alphaproteobacteria; Hyphomicrobiales; Devosiaceae
Also listed under: 1 other name
Description: Alpha-proteobacteria SAM riboswitch aptamer
Rfam family: Alpha-proteobacteria SAM riboswitch aptamer
About the family: This family is a riboswitch found predominantly in alpha-proteobacteria that binds S-adenosyl methionine (SAM).
Source: Rfam by way of RNAcentral
UCACAGCCCAGUGGUGAUUUGGCCGGUCGGUUGCAGCCACUUUAAAGAAAUUGCUAAAGACCGUUUUCAACCGGCC